This 1369-nucleotide ribosomal RNA is filed under the name metagenome. RNAcentral's name for it is "bacterial LSU rRNA". It matches the Rfam family "Bacterial large subunit ribosomal RNA", at positions 1538 to 2925 of the family's 2925-position model. The record is from RNAcentral.
AAAGACCGCGCAUCAAUGGGAAGACGUGAUGCGGAGUGAAGUAUAGUAAUGAAGUCCGUGAGCUGUGCGUCAAGAAAAGCCGCUAUUGUUCAUACCAUACCCGUACCGUAAACCGACACAGGUGGAUGAGGAGAGAAUCCUAAGGCCGGCGGAAGAAGCAUUGUCAAGGAACUCGGCGAAAUGACCCCGUAACUUCGGGAGAAGGGGUGCCACUGAGAAGUGGCCGCAGAGAAUAGGCUCAAGCAACUGUUUAGCAAAAACACAGGUCUAUGCGAAACCGUAAGGUGAGGUAUAUGGGCUGACGUCUGCCCGGUGCUGGAAGGUUAAGAGGAGAGGUUAGCGGAAACGCGAAGCUUUGAAUUUAAGCCCCAGUAAACGGCGGCCGUAACAAUAACGGUCCUAAGGUAGCGAAAUUCCUUGUCGGGUAAGUUCCGACCCGCACGAAAGGCGUAAUGAUUUGAGCGCUGUCUCGACAAUGCAUCCGGUGAAACUGAAGUACCAGUGAAGAUGCUGGUUACCUGCGCCAGGACGGAAAGACCCCAUGGAGCUUUACUCCAGUUUGGUACUGGGAUCCGGUACUGCAUGUACAGGAUAGGUGGGAGGCUAUGAAAUGGUAACGCCAGUUGCCAUGGAGCCGCUGUUGGGAUACCACCCUUGCAGUAUUGGGUUUCUAACCAGCCGCCGUGACCCGGCGGUGGGACAAUGCCAGACGGGGAGUUUGACUGGGGCGGUCGCCUCCGAAAGGGUAUCGGAGGCGCCCAAAGGUUCCCUCAGGAUGGACGGAAACCAUCCAAAGAGUGCAAAGGCAGAAGGGAGCUUGACUGCGACACCGACGGGUGGAGCAGGUACGAAAGUAGGGCUUAGUGAUCCGGUGGUAUUAAGUGGGAACGCCAUCGCUCAACGGAUAAAAGCUACCCUGGGAUAACAGGCUUAUCACUCCCAAGAGUUCACAUCGACGGAGUGGUUUGGCACCUCGAUGUCGGCUCAUCGCAUCCUGGGGCUGUAGUAGGUCCCAAGGGUUGGGCUGUUCGCCCAUUAAAGCGGUACGCGAGCUGGGUUCUGAACGUCGUGAGACAGUUCGGUCCCUAUCCGGCGUGGGCGUAGGAUAUCUGAGAGGAGCUGUCCUUAGUACGAGAGGACCGGGAUGGACGGGCCGCUGGUGCACCGGUUAGACUGCCAAGUCUAUAGCCGGGUAGCCAAGCCCGGAAGGGAUAAACGCUGAAGGCAUCUAAGCGUGAAGCCCCCCUCAAGAUGAGAUAUCCCAUCCGAAAGGAGUAAACCCCCUUGAAGACGACGAGGUUGAUAGGGCAGAGGUGGAAGUGUGGUAACACAUGGAGCUGACUGCUACUAAUAGGGUGAGGGCUUGAGC